This 422-nucleotide ribosomal RNA is filed under the name Argyra vestita. Its description in RNAcentral is "SSU rRNA". It matches the Rfam family "Eukaryotic small subunit ribosomal RNA", at positions 1375 to 1795 of the family's 1831-position model. Lineage: Eukaryota; Metazoa; Arthropoda; Insecta; Diptera; Dolichopodidae. The record is from RNAcentral.
CUGUUUGUUUGUCCCAUUAUAAAGGGCACUAGCUUCUUAAAUGGACAAAUUGCGUCUAGCAAUAAUGAGAUUGAGCAAUAACAGGUCAGUGAUGCCCUUAGAUGUCCUGGGCUGCACGCGCGCCACAAUGAAAGUAUCAACGUGUAUUUCCUAGACCGAGAGGUCCGGGUAAACCGCUGAAUCACUUUCAUGUUUGGGAUUGUGAACUGAAACUGUUCACAUGAACCUGGAAUUCCCAGUAAGUGCGAGUCAUUAACUCGUAUUGAUUACGUCCCUGCCCUUUGUACACACCGCCCGUCGCUACUACCGAUUGAAUUAUUUAGUGAGGUCUCCGGACUUGAUCACUGUGACGCUUUAUGUGUUGUGGUUGUUUCGCAGAAGUUGACCAAACUUGAUUAUUUAGAGGAAGUAAAAGUCGUAAC